UACGGGGGGGGCAAGCGUUGUUCGGAAUUACUGGGCGUAAAGGGUUUGUAGGUGGCCCGCUAAGUCACACGUGAAAUCCCUCGGCUUAACCGGGGAACUGCGUCUGAUACUGGAUGGCUUGAGUUUGGGAGAGGGAUGCGGAAUUCCAGGUGUAGCGGUGAAAUGCGUAGAUAUCUGGAGGAACACCGGUGGCGAAGGCGGCAUCCUGGACCAACACUGACACUGAGGAGCGAAAGCCAGGGGAGCAAACGGG
This 253-nucleotide ribosomal RNA is filed under the name uncultured bacterium. RNAcentral describes it as "partial 16S ribosomal RNA". It matches the Rfam family "Bacterial small subunit ribosomal RNA", at positions 524 to 776 of the family's 1533-position model. The record is from RNAcentral.